UACGGAGGGUGCGAGCGUUAAUCGGAAUUACUGGGCGUAAAGCGCACGUAGGCGGUUUGUUAAGUCGGAUGUGAAAUCCCCGGGCUCAACCUGGGUGCUGCAUUCGAUACUGGCAGACUCGAGUAUGGUAGAGGGGGGUGGAAUUCCAGGUGUAGCGGUGAAAUGCGUAGAUAGCUGGAGGAACACCAGUGGCGAAGGCGGCCCCCUGGACCAAUACUGACGCUGAGGUGCGAAAGCGUGGGGAGCAAACAGG
This 253-nucleotide ribosomal RNA is filed under the name uncultured bacterium. RNAcentral describes it as "partial 16S ribosomal RNA". It matches the Rfam family "Bacterial small subunit ribosomal RNA", at positions 524 to 776 of the family's 1533-position model. The record is from RNAcentral.